RNAcentral lists this ribosomal RNA (588 nucleotides) under Sclerotinia nivalis. RNAcentral describes it as "LSU rRNA". It matches the Rfam family "Eukaryotic large subunit ribosomal RNA", at positions 66 to 668 of the family's 3401-position model. The record is from RNAcentral. Lineage: Eukaryota; Fungi; Ascomycota; Leotiomycetes; Helotiales; Sclerotiniaceae.
CAAGGGGUAUUACCUCAGUACGGCGAGUGAAGCGGUAAAAGCUCAAAUUUGAAAUCUGGCUCUUUCAGAGUCCGAGUUGUAAUUUGUAGAAGAUGCUUCGGGUGUGGUUCCGGUCUAAGUUCCUUGGAACAGGACGUCAUAGAGGGUGAGAAUCCCGUAUGUGACUGGAUACCUAUGCUCAUGUGAAGCUCUUUCGACGAGUCGAGUUGUUUGGGAAUGCAGCUCAAAAUGGGUGGUAUAUUUCAUCUAAAGCUAAAUAUUGGCCAGAGACCGAUAGCGCACAAGUAGAGUGAUCGAAAGAUGAAAAGCACUUUGGAAAGAGAGUUAAACAGUACGUGAAAUUGUUGAAAGGGAAGCGCUUGCAAUCAGACUUGCACUUGGUGUUCAUCAGGGUUUCGUGCCCUGUGUACUUCAUCAAGUUCAGGCCAGCAUCAGUUUGAGUGGUUAGAUAAAGGCUUGGAGAACGUGGCCCUCUUCGGGGGGUGUUAUAGCUCCAGGUGCAAUGUAGCCUACUUGGACUGAGGACCGCGCUUCGGCUAGGAUGCUGGCGUAAUGGUUGUAAGCGACCCGUCUUGAACCCACGGACCA